CCGCCUUGCGUUGCCAUAACAACAGUACACAACCCUAUUAGCCACCCUGCGCCUCUUCCAAAACAAUCCUUCCUUCUCAGAUUCAAGACCCUCUUCAGAACUGCUUCUAGUUGAGCAGAACCGGGGACAAGGAUUGAGCUUAAUCUGAUUCCAGAACCUUCCAGCGGGGAGAACGAUGUCAGAUGAGGAUGAUCUGGAUGACUUUGAGCCAGAGUCAGAGCCAGACCAGGAAGAUCUGGAAAAAGAAGAAGAUGAGAAGGAGACAGAGGAGUGGGAGGACUACAAGAAGGAGGGGGAAGAGUUCUCCGAGGAAUGGAUGCCGGUCCCCCUCACUGAGAACAUGAUGAAGGAAGGGCUUUCUUUGCUGUGUAAGACUGGCAAUGGACUGGCUCAUGCUUAUGUUAAGCUUGAGCUUAAAGACAGGGACCUGACAGAUAUUAACUUGCUGCACUCCUACAUCCAUCUGCGCUAUGUGGAUAUUUCUGAGAACCACCUGACUGACCUGUCUCCACUCAAUUUCCUCACUCACCUGCUGUGGCUUAAGGCUGAUAGCAAUCAGCUUCGGACUGCCCGACUGAAUGAACUACCCUACCUGCAAAUUGCUAGUUUUGCCUACAACCAGAUCACUGAUACUGAGGGCAUCUCUCAUCCUCGUCUAAGAAGCCUAGAUCUCAAAGGGAACCACAUCCACAUGGUAACCGGUCUUGACCCCCAAAAGCUGAACAGUCUGCACACCCUGGAGCUUCGGGGAAACCAGCUAGAAUCCACCCUGGGAAUCAACCUUCCUAAGCUGAAGAACCUCUUCCUGGUAGCUCAUUGGACCAUAGGGUGGUAUGGCAAGAGGGCCCAGAACUUGCUGAAGAAGGUUGAAGGCUUGGAGAACCUAAGCAAUCUCACUACCUUGCAUCUCCGAGACAAUCAAAUUGAAACUCUGAAUGGGUUCUCCAUGGAAAUGAAAUCACUGCAGUACCUCAACCUGAGGGGCAACAUGGUGAGUGACCUGGGAGAGCUGGCAAAGCUUCGGGACCUGCCCAAGCUUCGAGCCCUGGUGUUGCUGGAGAACCCAAUUACAGAUGAGACUGAUUACCGUCAGGAGGCCCUGGUACAGAUGGCACACCUGGAGCGUCUGGACAAGGAUUUCUAUGAGGAGGAAGAGCGGAUUGAGGCUGAUGAGAUCCGUCAGAGGAUCAAGGAGGAACAGGAGCAGGAAGCUGAGCCUGAGCAUGACUUGGAACUGGACCAGCCAUUGGUCUAGCAGUGGUUCUUCUACCCUCCAAGGAUAGUAAGGAUACUGGCAGGGAGGCAGCAAGAAGAUGCCAAGGGCUGGGAAGAGAGGGGAAGAGAAGGUGCUGCAAAAGGCAGUGGGAGACCAAUGACCUCGGCCCCAAGACCUGAUAAUACUCCAGUCCCAGGCCACUACAUUCACGGAAGACAGGAUGCUUCCUUUUGCUCCAGAACUGGGAAUUCAUCACAGCCUGAAAUCCAGGCUCAGUGAUGGUCACCUGGGCACUGCUGGGUGCAGUGUGAGGUGUUCUAGGGGCCUGAGCUCCCUCUGGAGCCUAGGCAGGGGGCAGU
Molecule: non-coding RNA, 1575 nt
Organism: Ictidomys tridecemlineatus (thirteen-lined ground squirrel)
Lineage: Eukaryota; Metazoa; Chordata; Mammalia; Rodentia; Sciuridae
Source: RefSeq, a predicted model, not a curated record